RNAcentral lists this long non-coding RNA (875 nucleotides) under Vigna radiata. RNAcentral describes it as "long non-coding RNA (VRAD_LNC014737)". Lineage: Eukaryota; Viridiplantae; Streptophyta; Magnoliopsida; Fabales; Fabaceae. The record is from RNAcentral.
AACUCGCCAUCCCCGCCGUCGGGGUCAAUAGGCUUCCACCCAACCGCCGUCUCCACAGCUACAACAUCAUCCGCAGCACUCGCGGCAUUCUUCGCGCCGUCUGGUCCGGUCUCCGCAUAAUCCGCCGAGGCCAUCGACAACCACAACGUCAACCUCUCUCUCCUCCUUUACCUCCACUGCCAUUGAGGGCUAAGGGGUUCUCCCCUUUUAGAUUGAGAUAGUUCUUCACGAAGAGAGUUGGUUUUUUCUCUUUCCGAUGACGCAAGUCAGGCGUUUUUCCCGAGCGGCAUCCCAAUCAAACACAACAUGAUCGACCAAGAGCCCGGCGACAGAAGCACCAUACGCCCUCGCCUCCAUUCGAGACAGCCUCUUUAGCACCAUACCUUACAGUGACUGGUCAAGGGAGCAGCUCUCUUCCUGCGUCCGGCAACACGCCGUCGUCACGGCUAGACACCGCCAGUUGGUGUGCACUUUCCUCAAUAAAACCUCAGUAUUCCUAGGUUUAACACUAAAACCAGCACCGCAAACUACCAUCACCCACCUUAGUUCCACGACAACAAAGGUCUGACUCUUAUCACCUGCUCUCCGGCAAUGUCGAGGUUGGCAAUGACAUUGUCAGGUUCAUCCCCUCACUUUAAACGGGUUCAGCCCAUCCUACGAGGAUCGCCGCCAUCUCCACCGCCUAGGGCUUUUGCACCCGCAACGACAGCUGCGCUGUCCAGCCACUAACAUUCACAACGACCGUCGCGCCGUUCGGUUCAGCCUCCAUAUCAUUCACAGGCAUUGCCGCAAUCCGCCACCGGCGCCGGACCUUUCAACUAUCAAACUAGUCAACUGUAAUAUUGUCGAUGACGUCAGCCAGCACAGAGAACCCC